RNAcentral lists this ribosomal RNA (401 nucleotides) under Enterobacter sp. OOR150. RNAcentral describes it as "bacterial SSU rRNA". It matches the Rfam family "Bacterial small subunit ribosomal RNA", at positions 992 to 1393 of the family's 1533-position model. The record is from RNAcentral. Lineage: Bacteria; Pseudomonadati; Pseudomonadota; Gammaproteobacteria; Enterobacterales; Enterobacteriaceae.
CGAACUUGCAGAGAUGCUUUGGUGCCUUCGGGAACUCUGAGACAGGUGCUGCAUGGCUGUCGUCAGCUCGUGUUGUGAAAUGUUGGGUUAAGUCCCGCAACGAGCGCAACCCUUAUCCUUUGUUGCCAGCGGUUCGGCCGGGAACUCAAAGGAGACUGCCAGUGAUAAACUGGAGGAAGGUGGGGAUGACGUCAAGUCAUCAUGGCCCUUACGAGUAGGGCUACACACGUGCUACAAUGGCAUAUACAAAGAGAAGCGACCUCGCGAGAGCAAGCGGACCUCAUAAAGUGCGUCGUAGUCCGGAUUGGAGUCUGCAACUCGACUCCGUGAAGUCGGAAUCGCUAGUAAUCGUGGAUCAGAAUGCCACGGUGAAUACGUUCCCGGGUCUUGUAACACACCGA